UUUGUUUAUGCAACAUAAAGUAAUAUAUAUCUUUGUUUAAUACAUGUCAAUAUAUAUUUCAUUUUUUAUGUUAUUUAAAUAACACAUUCAAAAACACUAAUAUUUAAAAACGCAAAAAUAAAAUCAAAGUUAAAAGCAUAAAAACAAAAACCCUGGCAAUAAC
This 163-nucleotide unclassified non-coding RNA is filed under the name Borreliella burgdorferi (Lyme disease spirochete). RNAcentral describes it as "partial 5S-23S ribosomal RNA intergenic spacer". Lineage: Bacteria; Pseudomonadati; Spirochaetota; Spirochaetia; Spirochaetales; Borreliaceae. The record is from RNAcentral.